GUGAACGCCCUCACGGGCUUAUAACUAUUCCAAACCUCUGUGAACCGUGCCCAUCGUACCUUUUUUUGUUGUUCCCUCGACGGUGCUCGCGGGCCCGCCGGCGGGAAGACCAAACAAACCCUUUGCAAACAAGCAUAUCGAAAUCUCUGAUCAAACAUGAAUUGUCA
This 167-nucleotide unclassified non-coding RNA is filed under the name soil metagenome. RNAcentral describes it as "partial internal transcribed spacer 1". The record is from RNAcentral.